AGAGUUUGAUCCUGGCUCAGGAUGAACGCUAGCGGCAGGCUUAACACAUGCAAGUCGAGGGGCAGCGAGGGUAGCAAUACCUGUCGGCGACCGGCGCAAGGGUGCGUAACGCGUGAGCAACAUGCCCGUAUCAGGGGGAUAAUCCAGGGAAACUUGGUCUAAUACCGCAUAAUAAUCAUUUGGGGCAUCUUGGAUGAUUUAAAAUUUCGAUGGAUACGGAUUGGCUCGCGCGACAUUAGCUGGAUGGUAGGGUAACGGCCUACCAUGGCUACGAUGUCUAGGGGUUCUGAGAGGAAGGUCCCCCACACUGAAACUGAGACACGGUCCAGACUCCUACGGGAGGCAGCAGUGAGGAAUAUUGGACAAUGGAUGGAAAUCUGAUCCAGCCAUGCCGCGUGCAGGAAGACGGCCCUAUGGGUUGUAAACUGCUUUCGUAUGGGAGCAAUAAGGGCUACGUGUAGCCUGAUGAGAGUACCAUACGAAUAAGGACCGGCUAACUCCGUGCCAGCAGCCGCGGUAAUACGGAGGGUGCAAGCGUUAUCCGGAUUUAUUGGGUUUAAAGGGUGCGUAGGCGGUUAUUUAAGUCAGUGGUGAAAGUUUUCGGCUCAACCGGAAAAUUGCCAUUGAUACUGGGUAGCUAGAAUAUGGUUGCUGUGAGUAGAAUGUGUGGUGUAGCGGUGAAAUGCAUAGAUAUCACACAGAAUACCGAUUGCGAAGGCAUCUCACAAAGCCAUCAUUGACGCUGAGGCACGAAAGUGUGGGGAUCAAACAGGAUUAGAUACCCUGGUAGUCG
RNAcentral lists this ribosomal RNA (793 nucleotides) under uncultured bacterium. RNAcentral's name for it is "bacterial SSU rRNA". It matches the Rfam family "Bacterial small subunit ribosomal RNA", at positions 8 to 796 of the family's 1533-position model. The record is from RNAcentral.